GUACUCGCUUUGGCAGCACAUAUAUUAAAAUUGGAAAGAUACAGAGUAGAUCAGCAUGGCCCCUGCACAAGGGUGACAUGCAAAUCCAUGAAGCAUUCCAUAUUUUU
Macaca fascicularis (crab-eating macaque) is the source of this 107-nucleotide small nuclear RNA. The record is from Ensembl. NCBI's taxonomy places the organism in Eukaryota, Metazoa, Chordata, Mammalia, Primates, Cercopithecidae.